UUUACUUGGCAAUGCUGCAGAGGGGUUUGUAUUAAUACGAAUAUUAGUCCUCUGAAUUGUGGUCGCUGUGGAAACCGAUGCCCAUUUAGGGUUCCAUGCUCGUUUGGGAUGUGUGGAUAUGCACAGCCUCCACCACGCCCUCCUCGUCCAUUCCCUCCUCACCCACCGCGACCAUUCCCUCCUCACCCGCCGCGACCGAUCCCUCCUCAUCCACCACGACCAUUCCCUCCUCCUCAUCCUCAUCGCCCUCAGCCAACACCAUGCCCUCCUACGCAGCCAGGGCCACCACCCAGGACUUGCCCUCGAGGUUUGCCUCCGCCCCUAAAAGGUGAUCAUUCACCAUCAAGGAGUUGAAGUUGUUGAACAGUAUCCAGUUAAAGAUUCUACUUAUAUCUGCACUAUCUGCUUGCUUUCUUCACAAAAGGGAAACUAAAAUAAAUGCCUUGUAUACGUUACCAUAGAACUCCCCAGUUGUUUGCAUUUUCCUGAAAUUUUUAUUAAGAAAACUGUUUGGUGUUUUAAAUCAUUGUCAAAACUCAAUAAAUAAUUGUUCUUCCAUA
RNAcentral lists this long non-coding RNA (560 nucleotides) under Gossypium barbadense (sea-island cotton). RNAcentral describes it as "long non-coding RNA (GBAR_LNC000203)". Lineage: Eukaryota; Viridiplantae; Streptophyta; Magnoliopsida; Malvales; Malvaceae. The record is from RNAcentral.